GGUUGCGAUCAUGCCAGCACUAAUGCACCGGAUCCCAUCAGAACUCUACAGUUAAACGUGCUUGGGAGAGAGUAGUACUAGGAUGAGUGACCCCCUAGAAAGUUCUCGUGUUGCAAGCCACU
RNAcentral lists this ribosomal RNA (122 nucleotides) under Helianthus annuus (common sunflower). The record is from RNAcentral. Lineage: Eukaryota; Viridiplantae; Streptophyta; Magnoliopsida; Asterales; Asteraceae.